This 245-nucleotide ribosomal RNA is filed under the name uncultured bacterium. RNAcentral's name for it is "partial 16S ribosomal RNA". It matches the Rfam family "Bacterial small subunit ribosomal RNA", at positions 524 to 768 of the family's 1533-position model. The record is from RNAcentral.
UACGUAGGGGGCGAGCGUUAUCCGGAAUUAUUGGGCGUAAAGGGUGUGCAGGCGGUUUGUCAAGUUCGUGGCGGCAGUCAUCGGCUUAACCGAUGGAGGACUGCGAAAACUGGCAGACUUGAGAGCGAGAGAGGGACAUGGAACUCCGGGUGGAGCAGUGAAAUGCGUAGAGAUCCGGAAGAACACCAACGGCGAAGGCAGUGUCCUGGCUCGUAUCUGACGCUCAAGCACGAAAGCUAGGGGAG